RNAcentral lists this ribosomal RNA (545 nucleotides) under uncultured bacterium. Its description in RNAcentral is "partial 16S ribosomal RNA". It matches the Rfam family "Bacterial small subunit ribosomal RNA", at positions 356 to 889 of the family's 1533-position model. The record is from RNAcentral.
AGGGAAUCUUCCACAAUGGACGCAAGUCUGAUGGAGCAACGCCGCGUGAGUGAAGAAGGUUUUCGGACCGUAAAGCUCUGUUGUUGGUGAAGAAGGAUAGAGGUAGUAACUGGCCUUUAUUUGACGGUAAUCAACCAGAAAGUCACGGCUAACUACGUGCCAGCAGCCGCGGUAAUACGUAGGUGGCAAGCGUUGUCCGGAUUUAUUGGGCGUAAAGCGAGCGCAGGCGGAAAGAAUAAGUCUGAUGUGAAAGCCCUCGGCUUAACCGAGGAAUUGCAUCGGAAACUGUUUUCUUGAGUGCAGAAGAGGAGAGUAGAACUCCAUGUGUAGCGGUGGAAUGCGUAGAUAUAUGGAAGAAUACCAGUGGCGAAGGCGGCUCUCUGGUCUGCAACUGACGCUGAGGCUCGAAAAGCAUGGGUAGCGAACAGGAUUAGAUACCCUGGUAGUCCAUGCCGUAAAACGAUGAGUGCUAAGUGUUGGGAGGCUUCCGCCUCUCAGUGCUGCAGCUAACGCAUUAAGCACUCCGCCUGGGGGAGUACGACCGC